Long non-coding RNA from Betta splendens (Siamese fighting fish), 842 nucleotides. RefSeq lists it as uncharacterized. The transcript has 2 exons. NCBI's taxonomy places the organism in Eukaryota, Metazoa, Chordata, Actinopteri, Anabantiformes, Osphronemidae. The record is from RefSeq and is a predicted model, not a curated record.
CAGGAAGAGCAGGAUCCCAGGGGAAAACCUGCUCAUAGCGGGAUUCUUUAUAGAUGAUUAUCCUCGUGUAAGACUGCGGCCAUGUAGCCGUGGUUCUGGUGAACGUCGCGGUUUGAUAUUGGACAUUCAACAGACAUUCAGAGCUUGUUCCUGUGCUGUGAUCUGAACUGAAAAGGACCGAUGAAACCAAGGAAAGUGAACCAACGCAUGGGAAGGAAAUAAACCACAACUUUUCCUGGAAUGAUACAGUAAAUGUUUAACUGUUGUUCAUUUAUUUAAUAGCAAAAUGCUUGUUAAAACAAUGAACACCUUUUUUUUCCCAAAGGCCACUAAUGUAGAUUUAGGCAGCUGCAAAGAUACGUGACAUCAAUACAAAGUCAAAGAACAUGCAUGAAAAGAUUUUGUGACAUAAGGUUUUUUAUAAACAUGGACGACACAGACUAUAGAGAAACGAUCAGCUGCAUAAAUCUGACAUACAAACCAAAAAGAAGUACAAGUGAAACAGAUGCUUGUCUGAGUGCGGCUUCUGGUUAUAAGCGUACUUACUAAGAAGUAAACAAAGUUUAGUUGUAGAGUCAGUGAUUCAUCAGGUUUUUACCUUUGAAAAGAAAAAAUAGUUUUUUUUUACAGCCACAGCCCCAUUUUGUGCAUAGGUUAGUGAAUGUGCAUUAUUAUUAUUAUUAUGGAACUUGGUGUCAUUCUGCUUUUAAAGGAAAAAUACUGAAUCUGUGCAGUUGUAUUAAAGCAAACUAAAUAGUCACAAACUUAAAUAAAACUACUAAAUUUGUAUUUGAAUAAAUCGACUAUUGGCUGCAUUUAUAAAUUAAAAUCUCACCUGGUAA